This 125-nucleotide ribosomal RNA is filed under the name Samolus valerandi. RNAcentral's name for it is "partial 28S ribosomal RNA". It matches the Rfam family "Eukaryotic large subunit ribosomal RNA", at positions 1 to 124 of the family's 3401-position model. Lineage: Eukaryota; Viridiplantae; Streptophyta; Magnoliopsida; Ericales; Primulaceae. The record is from RNAcentral.
GCGACCCCAGGUCAGGCGGGACUACCCGCUGAGUUUAAGCAUAUCAAUAAGCGGAGGAAAAGAAACUAACAAGGAUUCCCUUAGUAACGGCGAGCGAACCGGGAAGUGCCCANCGUGAAAAUCUG